CAAUAGCGUAUAUUAAAGUUGUUGCAGUUAAAAAGCUCGUAGUUGAAUUUCUGGCGGGCGCGCCGGUCUUCCAAGUGUUGUACUGGGCGCAGUCCGCCAUCCUUGUGGAGAGGGCUCGCAUUGAGUUGCGUGUCGGAUCUGCAUCAUUUACUGUGAAAAAAUUAGAGUGUUUAAAGCAGGCUGUCGCUUGAAUACAUUAGCAUGGAAUAAUAAGAUAGGACUUCGGUCUAUUUUGUUGGUUGCGAACCGAGGUAAUGAUUAAUAGGGAUAGUUGGGGGUAUUCAUAUUUAAUUGUCAGAGGUGAAAUUCUUGGAUUUAUGAAAGAUGAACAACUGCGAAAGCAUUUACCAAGGAUGUUUUCAUUAG
This 366-nucleotide ribosomal RNA is filed under the name uncultured eukaryote. RNAcentral's name for it is "partial 18S ribosomal RNA". It matches the Rfam family "Eukaryotic small subunit ribosomal RNA", at positions 592 to 976 of the family's 1831-position model. The record is from RNAcentral.